AUGGCGGACGGACAGGGGGAGUUCCGGACCGCGGGGCUCCUUGGCCAUGGCGGACGCUGGCUUCGGCCUCGUCCAGGAUGGUGCUAUGGCAGAAAAUCAAGCGCGGGGAGAGAGGGGAUACGAACGGCGGCUCACAGUGAGGUCAGGGUGUGCUUGGAGAGGUCGGGGGCGCUGGUGUUGCAGGUCGAGGCAGCGGCGAUGCCGACGGUGGUGGAGCAAGGCGAUCCGGCGGAGGAGAGCUUCCCGGCUCCAGCUAGUGGUCCAGGAGGAAGAAGCAGUGGGCAGUGCACCUCGUGGGCCCCAUCCAAUGUCCUUGAGAGAGAGCUGAUCUACAUCACCUUCCGCAUAAAUAUAUCGACACACAUACGUCAACUUGAUCAUGAGAGGCAGCUUGUAUGUCGUCUUUGUCAUUGGUACGACCGGUACUGGUCGUAUCACUUCGUCGCGGCAAUUCUUGCCGGGAGUAAGAACGGUUACUUGAAAAGGCUUAGGCAGUCAGCUCUAACAAGGAAAUGCAAAACUGAUUUCGCAAAAGAAGUAGAGGUGAUGGCCAGGCUCUGGCAUGCCAACCUUGUUUGCCUUCUUUCUUACUGCAAUGAAGUCGACAAGCGGAUACUCAUCUACGAAUUGGGAUCACAAAUUCACAAUAGAUCAUCAAGUUCUCUUCUGCAACUAUUGGUUAUCGUUGUUCUGUGCUCCAGUAGAGAAGUACAGCUCAUUGCUAAAUGGGCUAGAGUCAGGGAAACACAAUGUGCUCCAGUAGAGAAGUACAGCUCAUUGCUACAUGGGCUAGAGUCAGGGAAACACAAUAAGUUGCAUGCAGUCAAAGGCUCGGGUCAUAAUCCACUUGCUUGUGUAAACCAAGGCUAUCCACCUCAUCAACCUAUCCACCUCAGCUAUCCUGCAAUGUCACCAGCUCUCUACAAAGUGGCUAUUCGAUGCAUCGUAUCCUCCACCUCCCAGGCUCCCACCGCAUUUUCACUAAUGAACAAAGCAGCACUUCGUCUGCGUAUCUCAUCUCCGGCCGCUGCCUUCGGAAUCCAGCUCUGCAACGCAAUACCAUGUCACCACUCAAAGAUGUGGCUCGAUCUCGGCGAAAUCAGACCUCAACCUAUUCAGGUGGGGUAUUCCGGCGCGAUCUCGACGAGGCAUGGAGGGUGUCUCCGUCCGAUGCGUGUUUACCGCCUUCAAGAUUUCGUCUUCAAGGGCAGACUACAACUGCGGUGCACAGAGCGUCAAGCGAUGGUGUCUCUCCGUGACCAGGGUUGGCUGCAAGUGUUCUUCUUCGUCUGCGGCUUCGUUGUCCUUUGCAUAUUAAGAGAAAGGUGUCACCGGGCACCUGCAGCGCCUCACCGGUGCCCCACAUUGGCUUCGCCUAGCCGGGCUCCUCUGACCGUCCACAUCGGCUUCACUCGUCUGAGGCCGCCCUCCAUACUCCACUCCGCUCCAUCGCAAGGCAACAUGAACCUUGCUGCUUCCCGUCGUGAAGCCCCUUCAGUCCUCCCUUUGCUCUGGCGUGGAGCUGGCGAGCCGGUAGGCGUGGCUUGCAUUGGGCGAGGAAGAACAGGACUCUUUGCAGUUGGGAUCAGCCUAAUUAACUCGAUCUUGCAUAUUGUAGACACUGCUCCCAACAGCCAGGGCCCAAGAAAUUGUGAUUUUGGAUCCAUCUCCAUGGCACAUACCAUGAAUCAUCACCUUGCCAAGAUGAAGUUCAUGUGCCUUUACUUUGUUCUUUCAUACUCACCCGAUUUUCCUUACUAUUCAUGCAUUUAUUAUUCUGUUUGUUCCAUGCUUAAAGCGCUGGAAUUCCUGCUAUUUAUUUCCCAUGGCCAUUGGCACCUUUAG
Molecule: ribosomal RNA, 1845 nt
Filed under: Triticum aestivum (bread wheat)
Lineage: Eukaryota; Viridiplantae; Streptophyta; Magnoliopsida; Poales; Poaceae
Description: partial small subunit ribosomal RNA
Source: RNAcentral